RNAcentral lists this transfer RNA (75 nucleotides) under Deltaproteobacteria bacterium. Its description in RNAcentral is "tRNA-Val". It matches the Rfam family "tRNA". Rfam says of the family: Transfer RNA (tRNA) molecules are approximately 80 nucleotides in length. Their secondary structure includes four short double-helical elements and three loops (D, anti-codon, and T loops). Further hydrogen bonds mediate the characteristic L-shaped molecular structure. tRNAs have two regions of fundamental functional importance: the anti-codon, which is responsible for specific mRNA codon recognition, and the 3' end, to which the tRNAs corresponding amino acid is attached (by aminoacyl-tRNA synthetases). tRNAs cope with the degeneracy of the genetic code in two manners: having more than one tRNA (with a specific anti-codon) for a particular amino acid; and 'wobble' base-pairing, i.e. permitting non-standard base-pairing at the 3rd anti-codon position. Lineage: Bacteria; Pseudomonadati; Myxococcota; Myxococcia. The record is from RNAcentral.
GGGUGCGUAGCUCAGCGGUAGAGCAAGUCCCUUACAAGGACGAGGUCACAGGUUCGAUCCCUGUCGCGCCCACCA